AUGUUCUGGGCCGCCGCCCCGCUACAUUGACAAAGCCAACGAGUCCAUACCUUGUCCGAAAGGCCUGGGUAAUCUUGUUAAACUCUGUCGUGCUGGGGAUAGAGCAUUGCAAUUAUUGCUCUUCAACGAGGAAUUCCUAGUAAGCGCAAGUCAUCAGCUUGCGUUGAUUACGUCCCUGCCCUUUGUACACACCGCCCGUCGCUACUACCGAUUGAAUGGCU
This 221-nucleotide ribosomal RNA is filed under the name uncultured Pezizales. RNAcentral describes it as "partial 18S ribosomal RNA". It matches the Rfam family "Eukaryotic small subunit ribosomal RNA", at positions 1477 to 1698 of the family's 1831-position model. The record is from RNAcentral. Lineage: Eukaryota; Fungi; Ascomycota; Pezizomycetes; Pezizales.